GCCAGGUGUGGUGGCUCACACUUGUAAUCCCAGCAUUUUGGGAGGCUGAGGUGGGAGGCUCACUUGAGCUCAGGAGUUUGAGACCAGCCUGAGCAAUAUAGUGAGAGCUCACCUCUA
Molecule: non-coding RNA, 117 nt
Organism: Gorilla gorilla gorilla (western lowland gorilla)
Lineage: Eukaryota; Metazoa; Chordata; Mammalia; Primates; Hominidae
Rfam family: Metazoan signal recognition particle RNA
About the family: The signal recognition particle (SRP) is a universally conserved ribonucleoprotein. It is involved in the co-translational targeting of proteins to membranes.
Source: Rfam